This is an RNA transcript of Rhopalosiphum padi (bird cherry-oat aphid), 2016 nucleotides long. It is a transcript of the gene named cytochrome c oxidase subunit 3-like, with no coding region annotated. The transcript has a single exon. Lineage: Eukaryota; Metazoa; Arthropoda; Insecta; Hemiptera; Aphididae. The record is from RefSeq and is a predicted model, not a curated record.
UUAUUUAUUAAUAUCACUUAAUUCCUCAAAUAGCACCAAUUAAUUGAUUAAUUUUAUUCUUAUUUUUUUUUUCUACAUUUUAUGUAAUCAUAAACUUACUAUAUUUUAAUUUUAUUAAAAACUUAAAAAUUAAUUUUUUUAAAAAAAAUAACAUAAAAAAUUACAACAAAUUUAUUUAAUAUUUUUGACCCAUCAACAACAAUUUUUAAUUUAGAAAUAAAUUGAAUCAGAACUCUUUUAAUCAUUUUAUUUAUACCAAACUUUUUAUGAAUCUUACCAAAUCGAAUAAACUGAUUAUUAUUUAAAAUAUUUAAUAUACUAAACAAUGAAAUACUAAUACUUUAUAAAAUAAAAAAAACUAAAUCUCCUGCAUUUUUAUUUAUUUCACUUUUUAUAUUUAUUCUACUUAAUAAUUUUUUUAGCUUAUUCCCAUAUAUUUUUUCAUCAUCAAGUCAUAUAGUAUUUUCUGUUACUUUAGCUAUUCCAUUUUGAAUAUUUUUUAUUAUUUUGUCAACUUGUAAAAACACUAAAAAUAUAAUUGCACACUUGAUUCCUUUAAAUACACCAAUUUACCUAGCCCCAUUAAUAACAAUUAUUGAAACAAUAAGAAUUAUUAUUCGACCAAUAUCUCUUUCUAUUCGUUUAACAGCUAAUUUAAUUGCAGGACAUUUAUUAAUAACUCUAUUAAAUUUUAAUUCACUUAUAAUUAUUAUUAUUUUUAUUCAAAUAUUUAUAAUAAUUUUUGAAUUAUGCGUAGCUUUAAUUCAAAGUUAUGUAUUCUCAAUUCUUUCAUCUUUAUACUCUAGUGAAUAAUGAUAAAAAUUAAUCAACCAUAUUUUAUUUUAAGAUUAAGUCCAUGACCUAUCUUAAUAGCAUUUAAUACAUUUAAUUUAAUAAUUUCUAAUAUUAUAAUUAUAAAUUUUAAAAUAAAUAUAAUAUCAUUAUUUAAUCUACUAAUAAUUAUUAGUAUUUCUAUCUUAUGAUGACGAGAUGUAAUUCGAGAAAGAACAUUUCAAGGUAAUCAUAAUUUUUAUAUUAUAAAUUUAAUCAAAUUUAGAAUAAUCUUAUUUAUUAUCUCUGAAAUAUUUUUAUUUAUUUCUUUUUUUUGAAAUUUUCUACACAAUUCUUUAGCACCAUCAAUUGAACUAGGACUAAAUUGACCACCAAAAAAUAUUAUAUUUUUCAAUCCAUUAUUAAUUCCUUUAUUAAAUACAAUUAUUUUAUUAACAUCAAGUUUUACUGUUACUUUAGCUCAUCUUUACUUACUUAAUAAUUCUAAAAAAAAAACUAUCAUUUUUAUAAAUUUAACAAUUAUUUUAAGUAUCUACUUUCUAAUACUUCAAAUAUUAGAAUAUAAACAAGCUACAUUUACAUUCUCAGAUUCAAUUUUUGGUUCUUCUUUUUAUAUAGCAACAGGAUUUCAUGGUUUACAUGUAAUUAUCGGAACAAUUUUUUUAAUUAUCAAUCUUAUACGAAUAAUUAAACUUCACUUUUCUCAUAUUCAUCAUAUCAGAUUUGAAUUAGGAGCUUGAUAUUGACAUUUUAUUGAUAUCAUUUGACUAUUUCUUUAUAUAACUUUUUAUUGAUGAAAUAAUUAAUUUUAUUAAUAUAAAUUAGUAUAUUUGAUUUCCAAUCAAAAAGUUUAAAAUUUAAAUAAAAUAAUUAUAUUAAAUUUAAUUUCAAUAAUUGUAAUAUUUAUUAUUUUAAUAAUUCUUUUUAUACUAAUAAUUAUAAUUAAUAUAAAAAUAAAAUUUAAUUAUAAUAAGUCAGCACCCUUUGAAUGUGGUUUUGACCCAUUUAAUAAAUCACGAAUCCCAUUUUCAUUAAAUUUUUAUUUAAUUGCAAUUAUUUUUUUAAUUUUUGAUAUCGAAAUUUCAAUUAUUAUACCAAUAAUUUUAAACUUUAAGAUUUCAAACAUAAUUUACUUUAAUUUAAUGUUUAUUAUUUUUUUUAUAUUUAUAAUUAUUACUAUUUUUUAUGAAUGAAAAUUUGGAUCAUUAAAUUGAAAAAUUUAAA